AGAGAAGGAAAAGUCAAAGCCCGAAGUGAUUUCCAGUCCACGUUGGCUUCUUGCCGUUUUCACUCACUGGACCUGCCCAGCGGCUGUUCAUGCUUCUUAAGAAAAGUUGAUCUUCUUGGAAUAAUCACCAGUUUGGCUUCUCAGAGUUCAGCCUGGCCUGGAAGAGGCACCUGAAGAGCCAGAAAUUAUACAUGCCUGUGGUUCUUCAAGUCACUUCUAGCCAUAACAGCAUGGAUUUCUUGGGCUCCUUUGCUUUUGGAUGGACCGGAUGUCUGCUAUGCAGUUCUCAUACACCUUAAGAACACUCCAGAAGGAGAGCCAUGGGCUUUAUUCCACUGAAGGAAGGAAAAAUCUGAGACAUGAACCUCAGCAGGAAUCUGCCCAAUACACCGAGUUCCAGCCCAGUUGGAGGCAAGGCUAGCUUAGAGUCAACAUGUAUUUUCUGGAUUCUAUUGAGUUCUAAGUUAGAUGAAGAAGGAGGAGUGAGCACACACACACACACACACACACACACACACACACAUGCUUGAGUUAGCCUGCUGAGAGGUGGUAUGCAUUGCUUCUGUCUAGAACCCAGCGACAUAAUCAACGCAAUUGCAGAGUAGAUCGGGAAAUGCUGAAAUGCACAGAAAUAUGGGUGAACACUGAUGAUCUCUGGCAUACGCACUUAGCCGUGGGCCUCAGAGAAAUCACCCCGUUCUCUCCUCCUUUUCCCUAAAAUGGGGGCAAUAUCCCCUAGCUUCUGGAAUUCUCAGGAGGGUUAAAUAAGAUAAUGCACCGGAAGGAACCUACCAGUACAGUGCCAGGCACAGAGCAGAGGCUAAAGCAACACCCCCCUUGCUUUUCAAUCCCACCCUUCCUCCCUGUUAGCUGUUCCUGAGAGCCCAUGGGAAAAGAGGAAGCAGGAUGGUCCACAUAUGGUUUUAAUUGGAUAAAUCAGGAGGUGAGGAGAUGCCAUUUGCAUUCUUUUCUGAUCUUCUCAAGGCGAAUGAGUAAUAGCUGGCUGUUUGGAAAGAAACUAUUAGCCUAUGUUGAGCCCUUCCUGAUGGCUUUGAUGGCCGUGUUUCUAGGAUCUGUUGGAAAGGACAAAGGCACAGAAUGGUACUGCCAUGACAUCUGGGCACUACCAUCCAAAGCCAUAGCAGUUUGCUGGGUUGUUCUUGUAAGCUGAACAGAGAGAAAAGCAUGCUGUGUGCUCCCCAAAUUAUUAACACAGGUUCUGGGAGCUGACACAAUUAUAGUCUGCUUACUGGAUAAGCCGAAGGUGGGUGGAGGUUGUGCAUACAGAUGGCUCUGUCUCUCUGACUCAUGUCUCAAAGGUGUUGACACCUAGGGCCCAGCUUUGGGAAAUGCUCUAUUUGGAAAGGGUUGGCCGAUGGCCUAGGCUAUGUUCUCAUCAUCUAGAAUAUGUUAGAAAAGUCAGUCAGAUGGAAAUUCUGGCCUUCCUCUCCUUAGGGACUGUCAUCCCCUAAUUCCCAUACCCCAUUUAUGCUAGCUGCUAUGAAUUGCUUUUUCUCUGCAACCUCUUGAUAAUUUAGGUUUACAUCUUUAGGAUUUUUUUAAAGGUCCAAUGUAAGGCAGUUGUGGAAAUCAGUAUGGGUCCAAUGCCUUAAAAAAAAUACCACAUUAAAGUAGUAAACACUUGAGCUGCAAAUAAUAGUAACUGUGGUUUCAAAAUUAAAGGCAUUGAUUGUUUUACAAGGACGCCUAGAGGAUAGUAGUGCAGGACUGGUUCAGUACUCAAUAAUGACCCCCAAAUCUAUGCUUUCUUUAACCUUUCUACAUUUCCUUAGCUUACCUUGUUGGCCUUUCACCCUCGUGGAUGUUGUCACAUGGUCACAAAACAGCUUCUGUAGCUCCAGGCAUCACAUCAGCAUUCAGGGCAAGAAGAAGGAAGAAAUUAAUAGUACUAGUUCUAUCUGUCCCUUUUAUCAGGACAGACAGCAAAAGCCAGCCUUAAAAUACAGAUCAGGAUAAACAAUUGUUUUCAGCUAAUGCAAUCAAACUUUAGUUCCAAAUUCUUGAGUUUCUCUUCAUGUUUCUGGAAUCAGUCUCUUUUCCCUUACUUCCCUGUGGAAGCAACCCUAGACUAUAGGCUAGGGUUGUAUUUUCCUACUUUCCUCUGGCAUAUCUCUUAAAGACGGAAAAAGAGACAUUCAAAGAUGAGAGGGAGAGACAGACAGACAGAGACAGAUGACAGAGGGGAAAGAGAGGGAAUUAUGCAGGAUAUAGAGAAAGCUAUUUUGAUCUAUUUCAGUCGAUUUACUUUUUUUGUGUGUUUGUUUUAUUCCCCACCCCUAUCUUUAACAUCACCUGCGGUGAUUAUACCUGCUUUCCCAGUGAGGCCCUGUCCCUCAGUCAUUGAUAGUAUAAUUUCAGAUUCUCAAGUGGUGAUGCAAGAAUGCCCAGCGUUGAGAAGGUGGCUGGAUAAUCAAGCUUCUUGCUAAAUUUGAGUGGAGCAAAAAAUGAAAACUGUUAUAGAAAAUUUUUUCUUUUUAACAAAACUCUCUAGGAAGGGAUCUGGUAUUUAGACAGAAGAGUUUUCAUGCCUGCUUUAGCAUUUUAUUUAUUUGUAAAUAAAAACUGACUUUAGACACCAGUUCAUUCAAACAUUAAAACAAUUGAUUC
RNAcentral lists this long non-coding RNA (2628 nucleotides) under Sus scrofa (pig). RNAcentral describes it as "lncRNA (ENSSSCG00060026937.1)". Lineage: Eukaryota; Metazoa; Chordata; Mammalia; Artiodactyla; Suidae. The record is from RNAcentral.